This 229-nucleotide ribosomal RNA is filed under the name uncultured bacterium. RNAcentral describes it as "partial 16S ribosomal RNA". It matches the Rfam family "Bacterial small subunit ribosomal RNA", at positions 568 to 796 of the family's 1533-position model. The record is from RNAcentral.
UGCGCAGGCGGGUUUGUAAGUCAGUGGUGAAAUACUGCCACUCAACGGUAGGAUUGCCAUUGAUACUGCAAAUCUUGAGUUUGGAUGAGGUAGGCGGAAUGUGCAGUGUAGCGGUGAAAUGCAUAGAGAUUGCACAGAACACCGAUUGCGAAGGCAGCUUACUAAUCCACGACUGACGCUGAGGCACGAAAGCGUGGGGAGCGAACAGGAUUAGAUACCCUGGUAGUCC